RNAcentral lists this ribosomal RNA (246 nucleotides) under uncultured bacterium. Its description in RNAcentral is "partial 16S ribosomal RNA". It matches the Rfam family "Bacterial small subunit ribosomal RNA", at positions 527 to 772 of the family's 1533-position model. The record is from RNAcentral.
GUAUGGAGCAAGCGUUAUCCGGAUUUACUGGGUGUAAAGGGAGCGCAGGCGGCAUGGCAAGUCUGGUGUGAAAGGCCGGGGCUCAACCCCGGGACUGCAUUGGAAACUGCCAGGCUGGAGUGCCGGAGAGGUAAGCGGAAUUCCUAGUGUAGCGGUGAAAUGCGUAGAUAUUAGGAGGAACACCAGUGGUGAAGGCGGCUUACUGGACGGCAACUGACGCUGAGGCUCGAAAGCGUGGGGAGCAAA